Molecule: transfer RNA, 74 nt
Filed under: Botrimarina mediterranea
Lineage: Bacteria; Pseudomonadati; Planctomycetota; Planctomycetia; Pirellulales; Lacipirellulaceae
Description: Planctomycetes bacterium Spa11 tRNA-Ala
Rfam family: tRNA
About the family: Transfer RNA (tRNA) molecules are approximately 80 nucleotides in length. Their secondary structure includes four short double-helical elements and three loops (D, anti-codon, and T loops).
Source: RNAcentral
GGGGCUGUAGCUCAGUUGGGAGAGCGCCUGCUUUGCAAGCAGGAUGUCGCAGGUUCGAUCCCUGUCAGCUCCAC